Molecule: ribosomal RNA, 1416 nt
Filed under: uncultured bacterium
Lineage: Bacteria
Description: bacterial SSU rRNA
Rfam family: Bacterial small subunit ribosomal RNA
Source: RNAcentral
AAUGAACGCUGGCGGCGCGCCUAACACAUGCAAGUCGAACGAGAAAUCUCGAGCUUGCUCGAGAGAGUAAAGUGGCGCACGGGUGAGUAACGCGUGGGUAACCUGUCCUUAAAUUUGGGAUAAUCCACCGAAAGGUGGUCUAAUACCAGAUACAACUCGGAGAACCUUGGUUCUCCGGAUGAAAGCUGACCUCUUCGUGAAAGUUGGCGUUUAAGGAGGGGCUCGCGUACCAUUAGCUUGUUGGUAGGGUAAAGGCCUACCAAGGCUACGAUGGUUAGCUGGUCUGAGAAGACGGCCAGCCACACUGGAACUGAAACACGGUCCAGACUCCUACGGGAGGCAGCAGUGAGGAAUCUUGCGCAAUGGGGGAAACCCUGACGCAGCGACGCCGUGUGAGUGAAGAAGGCCUUCGGGUCGUAAAGCUCUGUCAAGUGGGAAUAAAAUCCUGUGGUUAAUAACCGCUGGAUCUGAAGGUACCACUAGAGGAAGCACCGGCUAACUCCGUGCCAGCAGCCGCGGUAAUACGGAGGGUGCAAGCGUUAUUCGGAUUUAUUGGGCGUAAAGAGCGUGUAGGCGGUUGGGUUAGUCAGAUGUGAAAUCCUUCUGCUCAACAGAAGAAGUACGUCUGAAACUGCUCAACUUGAGUACGAGAGAGGAAAGUGGAAUUCCCAAUGUAGAGGUGAAAUUCGUAGAUAUUGGGAGGAACACCUGUGGCGAAGGCGACUUUCUGGAUCGAUACUGACGCUGAGACGCGAAAGCGUGGGGAGCAAACAGGAUUAGAUACCCUGGUAGUCCACGCCGUAAACGAUGGGAACUAGAUGUAGCGGGUAUUGAUCCCUGCUGUGUCGAAGUUAACGCAUUAAGUUCCCCGCCUGGGGAGUACGGUCGCAAGGCUAAAACUCAAAGGAAUUGACGGGGGCCCGCACAAGCGGUGGAGCAUGUGGUUUAAUUCGAGGCAACGCGAAGAACCUUACCAGCUUUUGACAUCCCGGUCGCGGUUAGCAGAGAUGCUUUCCUUCAGUUCGGCUGGACCGGUGACAGGUGCUGCAUGGUUGUCGUCAGCUCGUGUCGUGAGAUGUUAGGUUAAGUCCCGCAACGAGCGCAACCCUCGCCUUUAGUUGCCAGCAUUCAGUUGGGCACUCUAGAGGGACUGCCGGUGAUAAGCCGGAGGAAGGUGGGGAUGACGUCAAAUCAUCAUGGCCCUUACGGGCUGGGCUACACACGUGCUACAAUGGCGGUGACAGUGAGCAGCCACUCAGCAAUGGGGAGCUAAUCUCUAAAAGCCGUCUCAGUUCGGAUUGUUCUCUGCAACUCGAGAGCAUGAAGUUGGAAUCGCUAGUAAUCGUGGAUCAGCAUGCCACGGUGAAUACGUUCCCGGGCCUUGUACACACCGCCCGUCACACCAUGGGAGUUGGU